RNAcentral lists this transfer-messenger RNA (411 nucleotides) under Prolixibacteraceae. Its description in RNAcentral is "G019856515 sp019720755 Standard tmRNA". It matches the Rfam family "transfer-messenger RNA". From Rfam's summary of the family: Bacterial tmRNA, also known as 10Sa RNA or SsrA, is named for its dual tRNA and mRNA-like properties. Its role is to liberate the mRNA from a stalled ribosome. To accomplish this part of the tmRNA is used as a reading frame that ends in a translation stop signal. The record is from RNAcentral. RNAcentral also lists the same sequence under 1 other name. Lineage: Bacteria; Pseudomonadati; Bacteroidota; Bacteroidia; Marinilabiliales.
GGGGUUGACUGGUUUUGACAGCGGGUAGAAGAGGUAUGUAAGCAUGUCGAGUUUUGUAUAUUUGACUCGUUAAUCCUAAGUGUACAAACUUUUUAAUUGGCGAAAAUAACUUUGCUCUUGCAGCUUAAUCGAAUUAUAGUAGAUUCAAGCACCCUUUAUGGGCGUUCGGUAUAAGAUACUGAAACAAGACACUUCUCUAGUGCCCACGUCACGAGGCGGCUAGGUUCAGAGGUGCUAAAAUAUCGAGACUAGUUGAAAGAUUGUCUCGUCCUUUCAGCGAAUUUAAGAGUCUAAGGUGUUUGUCGGUCGCCUUGAUCCAGCAAAUAUUCGAAAAUUAAGUCAGGGCUAAGCGUGUAGAAAGCAUAUUGCUUCCUUGUUUGGACGAGGGUUCGAAUCCCUCCAACUCCACCC